This 64-nucleotide transfer RNA is filed under the name Dipylidium caninum. RNAcentral's name for it is "tRNA-Leu". Lineage: Eukaryota; Metazoa; Platyhelminthes; Cestoda; Cyclophyllidea; Dipylidiidae. The record is from RNAcentral.
GUAGUUAUGUCAGAAUUAUAUGAGUUAGCUUUAAGCGUUGAUUAUGGGUUUUACCCUGGCUACU